AAUUCGCCCUUAGAGUUUGAUCCUGGCUCAGGAUGAACGCUGGCGGCGUGCUUAACACAUGCAAGUCGAACGAAGCACUCAGGAGCGACUUCGGUCAAUCCUGUUUGACUUAGUGGCGGACGGGUGAGUAACGCGUGAGGAACCUGCCUCGCAGUGGGGAAUAACAGUUGGAAACGACUGCUAAUACCGCAUAAUGCAGAGAGAUCGCAUGGUCUUUCUGCCAAAGAUUUAUCGCUGUGAGAUGGCCUCGCGUCUGAUUAGCUAGUUGGUGAGGUAACGGCCCACCAAGGCGACGAUCAGUAGCCGGACUGAGAGGUUGAUCGGCCACAUUGGGACUGAGACACGGCCCAGACUCCUACGGGAGGCAGCAGUGGGGAAUAUUGGGCAAUGGGCGCAAGCCUGACCCAGCAACGCCGCGUGAAGGAAGAAGGCUUUCGGGUUGUAAACUUCUUUUAUUAGGGACGAUAAUGACGGUACCUAUUGAAUAAGCUCCGGCUAACUACGUGCCAGCAGCCGCGGUAAUACGUAGGGAGCAAGCGUUAUCCGGAUUUACUGGGUGUAAAGGGCGUGUAGGCGGGACUGCAAGUCAGAUGUGAAAACUAUGGGCUCAACUCAUAGCCUGCAUUUGAAACUGUAGUUCUUGAGUGCUGGAGAGGCAAAUGGAACUCCUAGUGUAGCGGUGAAAUGCGUAGAUAUUAGGAAGAACACCAGUGGCGAAGGCGAUUUGCUGGACAGUAACUGACGCUGAGGCGCGAAAGUGUGGGGAGCAAACAGGAUUAGAUACCCUGGUAGUCCACACCGUAAACGAUGGAUACUAGGUGUGGGGGGUCUAACCCCCUCCGUGCCGCAGUUAACACAUUAAGUAUCCCACCUGGGGAGUACGAUCGCAAGGUUGAAACUCAA
Molecule: ribosomal RNA, 903 nt
Filed under: uncultured bacterium
Lineage: Bacteria
Description: bacterial SSU rRNA
Rfam family: Bacterial small subunit ribosomal RNA
Source: RNAcentral